Molecule: long non-coding RNA, 451 nt
Filed under: Manihot esculenta (cassava)
Lineage: Eukaryota; Viridiplantae; Streptophyta; Magnoliopsida; Malpighiales; Euphorbiaceae
Description: long non-coding RNA (MESC_LNC013127)
Source: RNAcentral
UUCAUAAGCUCUGAAUUGAUCUUAAGGUGCGAGCUCAGCUCGUAGCUGAUAGUCUGAGAGAUCAAAUCUCGUAUCUUUUUAAUGGCGACUAUCAUGUCUGUUUUGUGCUUUUAGUCCUUCUUUCUUGGUUGUGACUUUGUAGAUUUGUGCCAGAUAAACUGAUUUAGGCUUUGAUUAUAGCCUUUUUAUCCUCCUAAGGAUUUCUUCAUUUAUGAGUCCUUUUGGAGAGAGCUCGGUCUCUUUCAGUGGCCUUUUAUACUUUCAGCUUUUGAGGAUGUAAGUCUAUCCGUGCUGGGAGCUCGGUCUCUUGCUUUGUAGCUAAACUUUUAUUGUUAGCAUCUUAAUUCGAGAUCGGCGCUUUUUUAGCUAUUAGGCCUGACUAUCCGAGCUGGAAGUUCGGCCUCUUCCUUUGUACCUUGAGUUUUGAGAGGAUAAGUCUAUCUGAGCUGGG